This is a long non-coding RNA of Anguilla anguilla (European eel), 376 nucleotides long. RefSeq lists it as uncharacterized. The record is from RefSeq and is a predicted model, not a curated record. Lineage: Eukaryota; Metazoa; Chordata; Actinopteri; Anguilliformes; Anguillidae. The transcript is spliced from 2 exons.
UGGCUUUUUGAAGAUGGAGAAGGGAGCUGCACAGCUCCUCCCAAACGGUUACAACGUGUCAUUAAUGAGAGCGAACAAAAGAAGAAGAGAGAGGGGGAGGACUGUGAGAAGGAGGAGGUGAAAAUGAAGGGAUCAAUGCACUUCCACAACCUGCCUACGAUGAUGCCGGAAAAGCCAAGCCAGACUGAUGCAACAUUCAUGAUUUAGACGAAAAUAAUCUACUCACGGCGCCUACUGAUGUUCUCCAAAAAAAAGUAAUGUUAAUACAGAGCAAAGCUUGUAACAACAUUGCAAUGCAAUAACUACAACAUUAUUCUUUCACUUUUAUUUAGUUUGCUUUCUUACAAGACCAUUUUCCAUUAAAUGCAUUACGGUC